This 1235-nucleotide long non-coding RNA is filed under the name Mus spicilegus (steppe mouse). RNAcentral's name for it is "lncRNA (ENSMSIG00000012424.1)". The record is from RNAcentral. Lineage: Eukaryota; Metazoa; Chordata; Mammalia; Rodentia; Muridae.
UGAGGGUAAGGGCAGAACCGUGGUUAUUAUCGUGGCAGUGCCCAAUGUUGGCUGCUUUGUUUGGGGUGUGAGUUGAUGCAAAGUCAGUAACCCCUUCAGCAGCCUCCACACUGUUUGCAAAGCUCACAUUACAAAGUUCAGAUUAGCGGUAAAAGUAAUUGAACUGAACUCGGUAAGUGACCACUGGGGAAACAGUCCCAACCUGGUAACUUUUGUUAAUACUGCCAGUCCGGCAGGCAAGCAGGAUCAUUUCCAAUCACCCACCAAACCUGAGUGUCACAGCACCAGUCUGUAACCUCAGCACUCGGGAGACUGAGGCAGGAGGAUUCCUAUGAGUUUGAAGAUGGCUUGAGCAGCAUAGUGGAAGCCAUCAGAAGGAGAAUAGGAAGAAGGGGAGGAAGAAGACCCUGGAAUGCUGCCCCAUGCCUUUAAUUGAGAGGCAGAGGCAGAUGGAUCUUUGUGAGUCUGGUCUACAUAGCGUGUGUUCGAGGCCAGCCAGGGCUACACUGUGAGAGCCUGCCUCAAACAUACAAGAAAAAGAAGAGGCAGAAGAAGGAGAGGAGGAAGGAAAGGAAGAGGGAGAAGUCAUCUUGAUGUUCAUCAAACCGUGCCAGGUGCUUGGGUGAGCACCACCAUUCUCCACAGCCCUGAUUGUUGUCUGUCCUUCCUGUCGUUGAAACUGAGGUUAGGAGUCGAGCAGAGGGAAGAUUCGGACCUGGGACUCCUGACUCUUACCAAGUCUCAGGCUUGGAGACAAAUCAAGUUAGCGAUUACCAAACACUUUUGUGUGGGUGCGGAUUGGGCUACCGGACUGCCUUGAAUCUCUGCUGCUUGCGCCCCGAAAAGGAAGAGGAUCAGUACCACGUGACCACCGGCGGCAAGCUCCGUUAGGAAAAGAUGUGAAGGUUAGUGAAACAAGAUCAUACUGGAGUUUUUUAGAGAGCCUGGUGACUCAGGGAUGGCUCGGUAAAAAUACCUGUAGACUGAGGUCGUAGAAGCCGUCCUUGGUGACUAAGGUUUCACGUAUCUCAGUUUGUCAAAUUCUUUGUUAAGUGGUUCAAAACAUUGAGAAAGACCUUAGGGCCCUAACAGAAACUUUCUUCUCAAUGACACAGGAGGUCUCCGACUCUGAGUCAGUGGCCCUGGGCUCCAGAGCAAAGUAAGCAUGGGAAUGCAUGGAAUUUAUUUGUAGUUUGCAGGAAAUAAAGUGUUAUUGUUAGGGACGUUUCCUGUCA